AUACUUACCUGGCAGGGGAGACACCAUGAUCAUGCAGGUGGUUUUCCCAGGGCGAGGCUCAUCCCCUGCACUCCGGGUGUGCUGACCCCUGCGAUUUCCCCAAAUGCGGGAAACUCGUUAAUUUUUGCCAGCAGUGUGCCCAGGUGGCCAAGAAGGCCAACGGCAUCCUGG
Gavia stellata (red-throated loon) is the source of this 171-nucleotide small nuclear RNA. RefSeq annotates it as U1 spliceosomal RNA. NCBI's taxonomy places the organism in Eukaryota, Metazoa, Chordata, Aves, Gaviiformes, Gaviidae. The record is from RefSeq and is a predicted model, not a curated record. The transcript has a single exon.